RNAcentral lists this transfer RNA (73 nucleotides) under Collybiopsis luxurians FD-317 M1. RNAcentral describes it as "tRNA-Leu (CAG) (tRNA-Leu-CAG-9-1)". It matches the Rfam family "tRNA". From Rfam's summary of the family: Transfer RNA (tRNA) molecules are approximately 80 nucleotides in length. The record is from RNAcentral. Lineage: Eukaryota; Fungi; Basidiomycota; Agaricomycetes; Agaricales; Omphalotaceae.
AGUCAAGUAGCUCAGUUGGUUAGAGCACUGUCCCCAGAUGGCAGGGACCUGGGUUCAAUUCCCAGCUUGGUCA